UGGGGAAUGCAACCUUUUCAUCGAAGAGAGCAGAGUUUAUAAUGCCAAGUUCACGGCUGGAUGCCAUAUUUGAAGUCGUAUAAUUGGAUACAAAGGUGCUCAUUUGAGGGCAAUUUUGUAUGCGCAGCUCUUCCAAGACAGGACAUUCAACUAAAUUACUUGUGCAGAAUCGCGUGAGUUUUGGAAGAUUCACGAGCUUCAGGGACUCUAGUUGAUGGAGUAACAUCUUACUCAUUAUUUCUUCUUCCAAUCCUUCCUUGACCAUCACUUCUUCCAUCAUCUUACAAUUGCGUAUCUGAAGCCUUUUCAAAUGCACAACACUUGAGAGUGAUAAUAAAUUUUUCAAAUUAUCACAUCCUUUCACAAUCAGGAUAGUCAAAUUAGGAAAAGAUACCUUUCUACUGAAAAGUGGCAUUGGU
RNAcentral lists this unclassified non-coding RNA (419 nucleotides) under Hevea brasiliensis (rubber tree). Lineage: Eukaryota; Viridiplantae; Streptophyta; Magnoliopsida; Malpighiales; Euphorbiaceae. The record is from RNAcentral.